GAGAUGCAUGGGUGUGACACUGUGGCCUGGUAGGACUCAGGCGGGCACUCAGCACUGCGCAGGCGCUGCGGGAGAACUCCCCCGAGCAGUGGGGUCUGCCGGGUGCCUGUGCCCUACAUUAAACCCGGCGUUUGUUUCACAGCCCAUGGAUUGUGCUUCUGAGGGGGUGGUCUGGGCUUGAGCCUGGCCCCAGGGAAUGGGGCGCUGGGCCGCCCCGAUGAGUGGAGCUUGAGGCCUGAGUGCCGCUUCGUCCAGGCCAGGCCCAGGUCCUGCGGUCCCGGGCCCUUCUCUGAAAAGGGGCAUCCCCAGCCCGGAGCGUGAUGGACCAAUGCGAGGGCCUGAGCCCGAGGGUGCGUGAUCACAGGUCAGGACGUUUCACAGCAGCGCGCCCAGGCUCCUGUGCGUGCUCUGGUGCACUGGAGUCUGGGGCUGGCUGGGCUUCUGGCUGUCCUCUGUCGCCGGAUGGGCUCGACGAAUCAGCGCAGCGAGGCCGGCCCCUUACGUGGUGCUGAUCCCACUC
Molecule: long non-coding RNA, 520 nt
Filed under: Homo sapiens (human)
Lineage: Eukaryota; Metazoa; Chordata; Mammalia; Primates; Hominidae
Description: non-protein coding lnc-DEGS2-6:1
Source: RNAcentral